UGGGGAAUUUUGGACAAUGGGGGAAACCCUGAUCCAGCAAUGCCGCGUGAGUGAAGAAGGCCUUCGGGUUGUAAAGCUCUUUUGUCAGGGAAGAAACGGUAGUUUCUAAUACAGAUUACUAAUGACGGUACCUGAAGAAUAAGCACCGGCUAACUACGUGCCAGCAGCCGCGGUAAUACGUAGGGUGCAAGCGUUAAUCGGAAUUACUGGGCGUAAAGCGUGCGCAGGCGGUUAUGUAAGUCAGAUGUGAAAUCCCCGGGCUCAACCUGGGAAUGGCAUUUGAGACUGCAUGGCUAGAGUGUGUCAGAGGGGGGUAGAAUUCCACGUGUAGCAGUGAAAUGCGUAGAUAUGUGGAGGAAUACCGAUGGCGAAGGCAGCCCCCUGGGAUAACACUGACGCUCAUGCACGAAAGCGUGGGGAGCAAACAG
Molecule: ribosomal RNA, 428 nt
Filed under: uncultured bacterium
Lineage: Bacteria
Description: bacterial SSU rRNA
Rfam family: Bacterial small subunit ribosomal RNA
Source: RNAcentral